ACAGAUGUAGUACUCUAAAAAAGGAUUGCCAGAUAGGAGUGAGCUACUGUCAUACUUCGUUAACACUUCGUUUCCGAAGUGCUCCUUCUUACACUUAAAAUACUCAGCUUUCGGCUAGACUAGUUCUUUCUGCUACCGACCAUCAUUGGGUGAUUAGUGCGCGUCGUGUCCCAUAAAGUUUAGUUAAAGUUGAAGAUAGGGGAAAAGUAUAUAAACCGAUCCAGGCAGAAGUGCAGGAGAAAAGAGUUACAGAUCAAAAUUCGAUAGGUUAGAUUCCCCACGUGUCAACCGAAAGAAAAGCUAUUGUUUGAUUGUUAACUGUAAGAAAAAGGUCCUAGUGGGCCUUUUUCUUUCUUAUUGCUUUGCGAAAAGCGAUCGUUUGUUGUAUUCCCAGAUCGAGGAUCGGAUCCUUCCUCAUUCAGCGCACUCUCACACCGAAGUCUCCUAAGGUGCAACCCUACAACGUCAAUGUCGAGCAGAGAUCUGAAGGAAGAGGUCCGAAAGUGAAGCCCCGCCCGCAACGACUACCAUUGCGAUUUGACGGUUGACGGUUUGACAAACUGCCAAAUCGGUUCGUCAAACAGCAUUACACACGGUCAAACACAGCCCCAACUCAACCACCAACCUGGGGGCGGAGUUAAGGACAAACGUCUUAAAAUCCCGCUUCAAGAGUGCAUGAGAACUUAAAACGCACAAAUCUCAAGAAGCAAGCUUCAAACAACAGUGCAUUUUAUUAUUCUACUCUUGCUCACUUGUAAUAAGCUUAAAAUAAGAAGAUCAAAUUCGCUGGUUUUGUUUACGAAGAGAUUUGUGCCCUCGAAAUCGUGAGUAGGUGCCAAAGUCGGCCAUUGUGGCGGCCAUCUUGGGAUUCUAACAAGUCUGUCCUUAAUGUUGGUCAAACCGUUUGAGUAGUGUGUAGGGUGCCUAACGCUUGCUUGCAGAUUCAGUUUCCGCCCCAGCGUAGAGUGUGGUCGACCCACCUUUACUUUCGUCCUUUCGCUCUCGAAUUUCUGUUGCUAUCGGCUUUUGAUGACAUCGACGAUGGAGCCAACAAUCAAUACGAAACAUGAAAUUCGCCCGUGACUCCAGUUUCAUCAAUUUUCAAUGACAACAACAAUAAUGUUUUACAUUCGUUCGUUCAAAAUGUCAUCCACAAUAGGUUGGUACGUGGGUUGGUAUCUUAAACUUUGCUACAGACACCGCAAAGAAAAAAACUUUGAAAUUUCAUCAUUCUUUUAAUGCACAUUUAAAUUUCAGCUUUCGUCAAUAUUACCGUAACUGAAUCUUCUACUGCUCCGAGGGGUUCCCAUGGGAGACUUUGUGCCCAAGAGCGAGCCCGAUAGUAAAUCACAUCGUCCCUGAUGGCUUGCCCUAUGCCUCUAUGCAUCAAGCAGCAGGUCGAUUCCGCGCGGCUUUUGGGAUGAACUCGAAAUGCCUUUUUGACCCCUAGGUCUUCGGGCGUUUAUUCCUAAUAUAGGAAAGGUGGAUACAAAAUACACUGCAUAAAGUAAAUUGUAUUCAUCCAGGCAGGGUUUGGGCGAGAAAGAAAGAUGAUGGAAGAGGUGCCUGGGUCGGAGAUGAGGGUGGAUCCUCAUGAAUCGAUAAGAUGCUGAGGUGGUUGUUGGUGACAAAUUCGUUGGAUGGCAAAUAGAAUGGCUAACCACUUAUCCGCGAGCGGUAAUGGUGGACAUAUCUGAGCGGUUUGAAUUUAGAGUUUCUUGAGGACCGCAAACGAUUGGCGCCAUCUAAACGUAGACGAAUGAGUGAGGAGGGGAACGAAACCGCUUCUAUUAUCCCCCAAGACACGCAACUACCUUGUACCCACUGUGAUAUCUGGUCAAUUCGGAGUUUAAUUAAAACGGUAGAGGAUGGAUUUUCCAUUAUUAUUCUUUAUAUUCACCAACUGUCACUCCGUUGUGUCCUCGCAAUUUACUCUCACUACGCCACCUAUCUCAAGGCCUCCUAUGUCGUAUCUCGAUAUCACAUUCCCCCCUUACUUAAUAUUUUAAUUUAACAUGUAAUGGUCAUAAUGAAUACCUAAACCUUUCUUAUGUAUUUUAUACUUAUGUGCGCAUGUGACUAAUGUAACAAAACAAAACCAAAUUCUUCAGACUCGCACAUUCACGAUUUUUUAUAAUUUCUUGCUCGACGACUCCUCUUCCUAAUAUAACAUAUGCACCAUCACGCCAGAACUGGAUAUAUUGUGAUACUUCAUUUUCCUUUAUCCAAGGCUGACACCAUUUCUUGCACCAUGUUAGGCUGCACGUUUGUUGGCAUCUUUGUGGAAAGCUAAGAUCUAGUUGUAAGGUUUUUUUUUAAACACUGCUCCCUCCCAAAUUAAGUAAGGCAACAUUUCUAAUAAAACAAUUCUUAGAUAUUACACAUAGACUUUAUACUCCCAUAGUCAUAACACUCCGAGUAACUACCAAAAAAUCGUACCAACGUGUUUUUGUUUGGAUGUUUGAGAAUGUUGUGCGUUCAGUGGCUGUAAUUCGACUUAAAUACUCAGAUAUCGAGAAAGAUUGUAAUUUUGGGGUACUUCUGAAGUAUUCUGGGUAAAUUAUCUAAAUUUUCUGGAAAAUGUAUCCUAAGCUUUUUCAGUAGAUGUAAAUGGGAGACAACCUUCUAUAACAAAAUAAUGGCCUAUAAUGUUUCAUUCUGAACUAGCUGUUCUGGCAAACGUCGUUCUGCCCACCUACUGUGUUUUUCAGAUGCACUUACAUAUAUUUAGAAAAAUACCUCGCAUAAUGGAUUUUCAAACUUUUUGUUAUCGGUGCGUUUGCGGUCGAUUUUCCCAUUUUUUUUCGUACGAACCCGUCGGAGCCCUGCAUGAAUGAAACACUGAAAGAAUCAUGUAGAUCAAUUUCAAUGGUAGAAGUUCAUUAACAUUCUUAAAUUAUCUAACCAUCGUCAAACUGUCCCUGUCUAGGUUUAUAAUGACCUCAUGCACGAUUUCUAUAAAAACAUUAGAUUUUUUUAAUGAAAUGAACUUGACAUACUGGUCGAUAUUCACCCAGCAUUACUUUGGAGAAUAAAGCAGAACAUAUGCAAUUCCCAGUAAAAAAUCUUUUAUUUAUAUAUGAAUGAAAUCUGAUUUGAUUAACUUUUUAAUAGUAUUGUGCUGUAUCUACAAUGAAAAAACAAAAAUAACUCUCUAGCAAAUAAAACAAAUACAUUCAUAAAUCGAUCGGUUCACGGAUGAAUAAAUACGAUAUUCCUACGCAGUAAAUAGGUUUUUUUUUACUGAUACCGUUUCAGAAACAAAUAGCAAUAUGGCAACAAUAAUAUGUCAUAAAGUUUCAAAUGUAAUUGUACCGCAAUCUUAUCUGAACAUUCUCAUUUAACCCUCCUAGAAUAUUGUUGUCAAAGAUGUUUUUUUUUUCUGAAUAAACACAGGCAAUAUAUAUUUUUUUUAUUGAUCAAAGAAAGAUAAUAUAACCUUUCCAUCGACAAAUCUGAUUAACCUUAUCUUUUGUGCAUACUACCACGUCACUUUCAAAAACCUACAGUGUUGAUUGGUGCUCCCUUAUGAAAAUUUGAAUAGUAAGUAUCAGCCUAUUCCAAAACAGCUUAAGUCGAAAAUCGAUUUUACCUUUGAUGUUAUGAAAAGCUCUUAACUUAAAUAACGGAUUAUGACUUGAGAGAUUUUUGCAAUUGUAAUAUUUUUUUUUUUAGUAAAUCUCUUCUGUGUAAAAUUUAAAUUUUAUAACAACAAUACAUUAAUUUCCUUUAUGUAUAAAGCUUUAUUUUUUUGAUACACUCAUUCUCAAAAUAAAUCAACACAUAUCGAUGUUCCUUACUUUCGAUAAAGUUUUUUUUAAACUCUUUUUAUUCAUGAAUUUUUACUUAACAUCUAUCUCUGCACACUUUGAUGAAAAGUGUUUUAUCUGUUACCGUAUAUGCAUUAUGCAAUAAUUAGAAUUGCCACCUUUUUUUCAACAUUGCACCUUUUUAUGUAAACAACGGAACUUGCCUAGCAUUUAUGUGUGAAAUAAGAAAUGAAAAUUUCCAAAUAACUUUUUAACUAAGCUGUUAUCGCAGAUUCAAGAUAUCGAUCAAUAAAUCAGCCUACAUUAAUAACAGUUGUAACAAACUCAAACUAUUAUGACGAUAAUAGGCGUCUUGAAAAUUUUGUUUUCAUACAUUCAUGAUAACACCAACUAUUUGAAUAGAAUUAUUAAAUAUAUAUAUGUACGCUUAGAUUUCAUCGUUUUUUUUAAGGGAUUCGUGUUUGUUUUCUUAUUAAAAUAACGUCUUCAAUAAUCCUGGCAGAACAUCUUACCUCAAUAUUAGCUUUUCUAGUAAUUAAAGCAUAAUUCUUUUGGGAGCAUAAUGAAAUCCACUUUUUUUUUAAACGAUUAGUUUUUCCAAUAAACAACGUAACCAACUAACGAACCCGUUUUUAAGUUUUAAUGGGAUCGUUUUUUUUUUGACGAAAACUCACUUCUUAAAAUGUUGUUUUAAAAAAAAACAGUUUCGCAAUAAUUUGAUGAAAUCCGACAUAAAGUGUUGACUAACACCAUUUCCUCAAAACAUCACCUGAUUUCCCUCCUUAAAGCAAUAAUAAACUUAGCAUUCCAACCUGGACAAUAUCGACUCUAAAUUUAUAAAUUGUAUUAUUACGUACUAAUACCUUUUCACAGUGUUGACAAACCACCAUUUCAUUGAUUUGACGAAAUUCGCCUUCUGAAAAGUAAUGAGAUAAUCGCCUUCUUACAAUGUUAAUGAAAAACUGCUGUUUGUAAGUUCUGAUGAAAGUUGCCUUCUCAUAGUGUUGAAGGAACCACCAUUUUAUGAUUUGACGAACCGACUUCUCAGUUUUGACAAAACCCGCCUUCUAACUGAUUUAACGAAAGCCGCUUUCUCAAAGUUUUUGACGAAACCCGCCUUCUUAUUGAUUUGACGAAACCAAGGACGAACCCGCCUUCUCACAGCCUUGACGAAAACCGCUUUCUCAUUUAUUUGACGAAAAUGGCCUUGGCGAAACCGCCUUCUGAAAAUAUUGACGAAACCGCCAUCUCAUUGAUUUGACAAAAACCGUCUUCUUACAGUUUUACGAAAACCGCCUUCUAAUUGGUUUGACGAAAGUCGCCUUGGCGAAAUCGCCUUCUGAAAAUAUUGACGAAACCGCCAUCUCAUUGAUUUGACGAAAACCGUCUUUUCACGGUUUUGACGAAAACCGCCUUCUUAUUGAUAUGACGAAAACCGCCUUCUCAGUUUUGACGAAAUCCGCUUACUUAUAGGUUUGACGAAAACCGCCUUCUCACAGUUGUUACGCAGACCGCCUUCUAAUUGAUUUGACAAAAAACCGCCUUCUGAAAAUAUUGACGAGACCGCCUUCUCCUCCUCCUCUCUCUCCUCUUCUUGGCGUAACGUCCUCCUGGGACAAAGCCUGCUUCUCAGCUUAGUGUUCUAUGAGCACUUCCACAGUUAUUAACUGAGAGCUUUCUCUGCCAAUGACCAUUUUGCAUGUGUAUAUCGUGUGGCAGGCACGAAGAUACUCUAUGCCCAAGGAAGUCAAGGAAAUUUCCUUUACGAAAAGAUCCUGGACCGACCGGGAAUCGAACCCGUCACCCUCAGCAUGGUCAUGCUGAAUACCCGUGCAUUUACCGCCUCGGCUAUAUGGGCCCCUUCUCAUAGUGUUGACGAAACCGUCUUCUUGACGAAAACCGCCUACUGAAAAUAUUGACGAAACUGUCAUCUCAUUGAUUUGACGAAAACCGCCUUCUCACAGUAUUGACGAAAACCGUUUUCUAAUUGAUUAGACGAAAACCGCCUUCUGAAAAUAUUGACGAAACCGCCAUCUCAUUGAUUUGACGAAAACCGCCUUCUCACAGUUUUGACGAAAACCGCCUUCUUAUUGAUUUGACAAAAAAACCGUCUUCUAGAAAUAUUGACGAAACCGCCAUCUCAUCGAUUUGACGAAAACCGCCUUCUCAUAGUUUUGACGAAAACCGUUUUCUAAUUGAUUUAACGAAAACCGCCUUCUCAAAAUAUUGACGAAACCGCCAUCUCAUUAAUUUGACGAAAACCGCCUUCUCACAGUUUUGACGAAAACCGCCUUCUUAUUGAUUUGACGAAAACCGCCUUCUACAAAUAUUGACGAAACCGCCAUCUCAUUGAUUUGACGAAAACCGCCUUCUCACAGUUUUUUUUAGGAAUUCCGCAUUCUCAUUGAUUUCACGAAAACCCCUUUUGAAAAUUUUGACGCAACUACCUUCUCAUAUUGUUAGCGGAACCCGCUUUCUAGUGUACGAAAACCACCUUACGAUUUUAUUAAACGAAAACCAGCUUCUCACAGUAUUAACGAAAUCUCUUUCUCCGGGGUUUUCUCAGUGUUAAGCACUGUUUGCAGAUCAGAUGAAAUUUCUCGGCCUAUCUUGAUGCAUGGGGAAUUCCUUGCCUGAAUAGCUCAAGAAAUCCAUUUUCUUCGAUCGCAGUAUGCACUUGCGAAGAAAUGACAGUCACUGUAGGAAGUUUCUGCCAGAAAUCGAUUAAGAAAUUUCUUGAGCAAAUCCUCCUAUACACGAAACUGGGCUUUAGCGAUAACCGCCCUCUUAAAGUAUAGAAGAAACCGCCUGUUGGCAAAAUAAGUCGUGAAUCGAACCUGCCAUGUCCGAGUUAACGAUUCAAAGGCAUAUUCAUUAGUCUGAUUGAAGACUUUUCCUUUUCUCUGUUAAUUUAAAUUAUGUCUUAGGUAUUCUAGAUCAUAUGUAUCUUCUUCUUUUUAAAUAAAAUUACAAUUAUUCUGGAAACAGAGUUUGUUAUUCUGCCUAGUGAUACACAAUCAAUUAAACCAGCAACUUUAUCUUCAAAUAAAAAAAAUGUUGCAAUAAGGGUAAUGGAGGCUCUUGCCUCAUUUACAAUUGAAAAUGUUUCUUAUUGUGUAAAACGCAUCAUUUGUCUAACAAAGUAAUAUGCAAUUUUGAACUUUUUGUCGAUAGACCAAACCGUAUGGAUUUACAAAUGCCGAGGUAUUGUAACUACUCAAAUGAUUAUAAUCAACAUUGCCACAGUUCUGACGGCCAUCCAACUAUGUCACUUGCACUUCGGUAAACCGUUUGGUGCUAGUAUCGAAAAGAAAUAAAAAUCUCUCCGUACGCUGGUCAUAGCAGGUCUAACGCGCAUCACCAAUCUUUGAAAACAAUGCUUCUUAUACAUACCUCUGUGAAACUGAUGUUUUAAUACAAACAUUACCAGCAAUUGUCAUAAAUUGCUGGUUGAUUUUUUGCGGCGAUCUUCCAGCAUACAUUGCACACUUUCCCACCUUUCUUCCUACACAACUGUUGUUUGCAGUGCAGAUCACUUCCCGCAAUUUUCUUCCCUUCACAUUUGAACUUCAAAAAAACACAGUACUUUUAUGCUCUUCAAUUUUCUCUGUUUUAAUUCUCGUCGCCAAUGUGAUAUCUGGUCAAUUCGGAGUUUAAUUAAAACGGUAGAGGAUGGAUUUUCCAUUAUUAUUCUUUAUAUUCACCAACUGUCACUCCGUUGUGUCCUCGCAAUUUACUCUCACUACGCCACCUAUCUCAAGGCCUCCUAUGUCGUAUCUCGAUAUCACACCCACUACCGCCAUUACCACGCACGGAUAAGUCGAUAGAGAGACUUAAUGACGGUCCUGUACAUAGAUCUACUAAUACUGUAUUAAAAAUAUUUGGUUUUCCACCUAGAACACGCACAUAGGAAUACGCCAUAUUCCAAGAAUCUGAUGAAUGAGACAGCACUCACAUCGAAUCUGGGAGAGAAAGGGCUAUUAUCAGGCCGGUAGCGAACAGUGGUUCGACUGGGCAUAGCUCGGACGAACUUCGACUGAACUAUUGAAAACCCGUAGAGUAAUGCGGGGCAAAAGUUCGCACGGGGCAAAAGUUCGCAGUGGGUCUUUUUCUGAGCACGAGUUAAGAACCCAAACAAAUCUGUAUGGGUUCGACACAUAAUCAGGCCAGCUACUCGUCAAUAAAAUUUGGAACGAUUUCGUUAUGGUUUGGCAGAGUUAUGUGAAAAAAUGUGUUUCUAGAGGUUUUGAUAGAAUUUUUGGACCUUUUGGAAUACGAAUUUUUAGUUACAGGAAGAAGAAGAAUCUCAUAACCUCUUUAUGUCGGAGAAUCGUUGUUCCAUAGUAGUUGGCGAGGUGCACUCGAAUAAACAAUAAACUACUAGUGCUUCUUACAGAAAGGGACAUUGUUAAAACCUCGACAGUGGGGCAAAAGUUCGCACUAGAUUUCUGAGUCAAGUACAUCAAUAUAAUUACAGAAUCUUUGAAACAAUGAUAGUUUCGUAUAGAAACUGCUAUAUAUGCAUAAUAUAAGUAGUCUGCACCCUGAAAUCGUUGCGACAGAGGAUCUAAACUUAGUUUUGUAAGAAGAUUGAUUGUGAAGCAAACAUUAUGUUCACGCAUUUAAAUCAAUAAAUGAAAAAUGGCUAAAAAUAACAUUUUAAAACA
Aedes albopictus (Asian tiger mosquito) is the source of this 8437-nucleotide long non-coding RNA. RefSeq lists it as uncharacterized. The record is from RefSeq and is a predicted model, not a curated record. The transcript has 4 exons. Lineage: Eukaryota; Metazoa; Arthropoda; Insecta; Diptera; Culicidae.